Molecule: long non-coding RNA, 868 nt
Filed under: Mustela putorius furo (domestic ferret)
Lineage: Eukaryota; Metazoa; Chordata; Mammalia; Carnivora; Mustelidae
Description: lncRNA (ENSMPUG00000025561.1)
Source: RNAcentral
GCUCAGGGCUCAUUACGGACUACCUCUCCCCCUGUACCUCUAACUCGAAUAAUCUUUAGUUCUGUGACGAAUUCCCGUUUUCCUUCCUCCAGCUAACCCAGUUAUUUCCGGGAAAUACUACAAGAUGUCUGUCUCAUAAAGUGAUGGUGGGAGGCCUAGUAGGCAAAGUGGAAGAGAAGCACAGGAGUCUGCAUGAAAGAAGCCUCAGUAGGAGAGUCAAUGGCACAGUAACAAAAUUCAUCAAGUUCCUCCUUACCUGUGUCAUCUGUGAGAGAAAUGUUGGUGAAGGUGCUGUCCUCCUCCUCAUCUUUGCUGGACCCGUCCAUCUUGUUUACUUGCCGGCCUGUUAGUGAGAAUAAUGAGGGCAGGGAAAACGGCUGCUCUCCCUUGUGAUCACCCUUGUUGAAUCAUUAAUAAAUGAGCAUUCACGCAGGUGGUAUCUGAUCCUUGCACAAGCCACCUUCUUCCUGCUUUCCGCCUGAGAGGUUCUUACCUGAGUCUUGCAGUCCUAACCGGAAAUAGUCAAAGACCCAAGUUAAAGUGUUAUAAACCUUUACCUGAAGCUGUUGAGUUAGCAUGACUGCUGUACCUGGCAAAAGGCCAAACCUUGCUUUCAGUCCAAUGACAGUCUGCCAGAGCUGAAUUGCCCAGGAACAUUGCCCAAAAAAGCACUGCAAUGAUGUUGGAGGAAGACAUUCAAUUGUAUUUGCUUAGCAUAUUUUGGGGACCCCUGCAAUAAACUUGUCAAGGAUUUUGGUCGGUGAUCUAGCAGCAUGACUUGGUCACAGAGCCUCAGUUUCCUGUCCUAUAUGAUGAUAAAUCUUUUGUAAGGAUUAAAAGUGAAUAGCAUGCACUUGUUAAAUGUCGG